RNAcentral lists this ribosomal RNA (429 nucleotides) under uncultured bacterium. RNAcentral's name for it is "bacterial SSU rRNA". It matches the Rfam family "Bacterial small subunit ribosomal RNA", at positions 355 to 776 of the family's 1533-position model. The record is from RNAcentral.
UUAGGAAUAUUCGUCAAUGGGGGAAACCCUGAACGAGCAAUGCCGCGUGAGUGAUGACGGUCUUAAUGAUUGUAAAACUCUGUUGUAAAGGAAGAAUAGCUAUCAUAGGUAAUGAUGAUAGUGUGACGGUACUUUACCAGAAAGCCCCGGCUAACUACGUGCCAGCAGCCGCGGUAAUACGUAGGGGGCGAGCGUUAUCCGGAUUUAUUGGGCGUAAAGCGUUCGUAGGCGGUUUGUUAAGUCUAAGAUUUAAGCCCGAGGCUCAACCUCGGUUCGUUUUAGAAACUGGCAGACUUGAGUGUGGUAGAGGCAAGUGGAAUUUCUAGUGUAGCGGUUAAAUGCGUAGAUAUUAGAAGGAACACCAGUGGCGAAGGCGGCUUGCUGGGCCAUUACUGACGCUGAGGAACGAAAGCGUGGGGAGCAAAUAGG